CUGAUAUUAACCUUUUUUUUUUUUCCUUAAAAUUUUUUUAAUAAUAGCUUUUUGAUUUUUUUUAGAAUACAUGCAAAGAUAGUUUUCGAUAUUCACGCUUGCAAAACCCUAUGUUCCAGGAUUUUCUUGCUCCCUUCCUCUCAACCCUCUCCCCUAAACAGCAAGUAAUCCAAUAUAGGUUAAACAUGUGCAAUUCUAAAUAUAUUUCCCAGUUAAAAUGAGGGCUCCACCCUAGGGAGGGCCCAGCUGCCAUUGCCAGGCUUGUCCUCUUCUACAGAAGGGUAACCUCUGGCUGCCUCUGGCCAAAUUGUAUCAGCCCAGAUUGGCAGGGGAUUAUGUCCUUUCCUAUGGGGGACACACCAGCCAGCCUUUUUUUUUUUUUUUUUAUCUUUUGACCCAGAGAUUUUAUUUUGUCCUGAAUCGCCACCUUGUUGAAAAGAGCCACGUCCAUCAGAAUUGGUGAUCACAUAAUCUUGUUGCCAUGUACAAUCAGCAUCAGUUCAUGUAAGUUUCUCCAGUCUCUCUUGAAUCAUACUGCCAUCAUUUCUUAUAGAGCAAUAAUAUUCCAUAACAUUCAUAUACCAUAACUUACUCAGCCGUUCUCCAACUGAUUGACACCUGUUCAGUUUCUAAUUCUUAGCCACUACAAACAGUGCUGCCACAAACAUUUUUGCACAUGUGGGUCUCUUUCCCUCUUUGGGAUACAGACCCAGUAGUAACAUUGCUGGAUCAAAGGGUAUGCACAGUUUGAUAGUCCUUUGAAGGUAGAUUCAAAUUGCUUCAGAAUGGGUGGAUCAUUUCACAACUACCAGCAAUGUAUCUAUGUCCCAGUUUUCCCACAUCCCCUCCAACAUUCUUCAUUAUCUUUUCCUGUCAUUUUAAGACAUCUGAGAGGUGUGUAGUGUACCUCAUUUUUCAAAUGAGAAAACAUUGGACUUCACAAUGGUAGGACACAAGAUCAGGACAAAUCACGCACUACUUCUACCACAAUUGGGGCUGGACUGUCAUGUUUCCACAACCUGAGAGACCUGCAGAUUGGGGUUCAUAAUUCAAGAUGGCGCUGAUUAUGAGCCUUCUUGUAGUAGGGCGGGAC
This 1093-nucleotide long non-coding RNA is filed under the name Sarcophilus harrisii (Tasmanian devil). RNAcentral's name for it is "lncRNA (ENSSHAG00000021474.1)". The record is from RNAcentral. Lineage: Eukaryota; Metazoa; Chordata; Mammalia; Dasyuromorphia; Dasyuridae.